This 135-nucleotide small nuclear RNA is filed under the name Rhipicephalus microplus (southern cattle tick). RNAcentral's name for it is "U4 spliceosomal RNA". It matches the Rfam family "U4 spliceosomal RNA". From Rfam's summary of the family: U4 small nuclear RNA (U4 snRNA) is a component of the major U2-dependent spliceosome. The record is from Rfam by way of RNAcentral. Lineage: Eukaryota; Metazoa; Arthropoda; Arachnida; Ixodida; Ixodidae.
AGUUAUGCGCAGAGGCAGUGUCGCAGCCAAUGAAGUGGCAACUGAGGAGCGACAAUUUUUAGUUGAAAACUUUUUAUUCACAAAAAUCAGCACAUUUGAGUGUUACUGCUCGAACCUUCUGUCGAGCUUGUGGGC